Molecule: ribosomal RNA, 301 nt
Filed under: uncultured bacterium
Lineage: Bacteria
Description: partial 16S ribosomal RNA
Rfam family: Bacterial small subunit ribosomal RNA
Source: RNAcentral
CAGUAGCCGCGGGAAUACGUAGGGUGCAAGCGUUAAUCGGAAUUACUGGGCGUAAAGCGUGCGCAGGCGGUUAUAUAAGACAGAUGUGAAAUCCCCGGGCUCAACCUGGGAACUGCAUUUGUGACUGUAUAGCUAGAGUACGGCAGAGGGGGAUGGAAUUCCGCGUGUAGCAGUGAAAUGCGUAGAUAUGCGGAGGAACACCGAUGGCGAAGGCAAUCCCCUGGGCCUGUACUGACGCUCAUGCACGAAAGCGUGGGGAGCAAACAGGAUUAGAUACCCGUGUAGUCCCUGUCUCUUAUAC